RNAcentral lists this ribosomal RNA (219 nucleotides) under Campeiostachys nutans. RNAcentral describes it as "Elymus nutans partial small subunit ribosomal RNA". The stretch from base 46 to 219 matches the Rfam family "Eukaryotic small subunit ribosomal RNA", at positions 693 to 864 of the family's 1831-position model. The record is from RNAcentral. Lineage: Eukaryota; Viridiplantae; Streptophyta; Magnoliopsida; Poales; Poaceae.
GGACCAUCAUGUCGGUCGUGCCUCGGUACGUACUGGUAUUGUUGGUUUCUCCCUUCUGACGAACCAUGAUGUCAUUUAUUUGGUGUUGUGGGGAAUCAGGACUGUUACUUUGAAAAAAUUAGAGUGUUUAAAGCAGGCUUAUUAGGCUUGAAUACAUUAGCAUGGAAUAAUGAAAUAGGACGAUUGGUCCUAUUUUUGUUGGCUUCUAGGAUUAACGUA